This 107-nucleotide small nuclear RNA is filed under the name Mus spretus (western wild mouse). Lineage: Eukaryota; Metazoa; Chordata; Mammalia; Rodentia; Muridae. The record is from RNAcentral.
GUGCUUGCUUCAGCAGCACAUAUUCCAAAACUGGAAUGAUACAGAGAAGAUUAGCAUGGCCCCCGUGCAAGGAUGACACACAAAUUCAUGAAGCGUUCCAUAUUUUU